CCCUGCCAGAACACGAGUUCCCUCAUUGAAACCAAUGACAUUUUUUGAGAGAAAAUUAUACUAUUUUUUUGCAGAAUGAACUACAUAAUUAAUGGACUAAAUAUAUGCUUAUGAAACAUUACUCAUCCUCCACUUAAUAUGAGCUAUUUGAAUGAAACCGUAACAUUUGUUCUUCAAUUCUUUUAUGGAAAUAAUACUGAAAUUGUAACCAGCUCUUUGUGGUGCUUCCAGAAGGAAUGCAGAUGCUUUAUUGAUAGGCUUUCCAUCUUAAAUUGUGUCGGAUUUGUCUGCAAAAAUGGGUCAAAAAUAUCUGAAAAAUUGGUCAUUGGUUUCCAUUGGUUUCAAUGAGGGCACUCGUGUUCUGGCAGGGACUCGCUUUUCGGCACGACAGGGUAAUCCAAGAACAUGUGCUGGAUCUCAAACCGUGUACUUGUGCACUUCUGUGCUCACGUUUUAAUGCGUAUGGCCGGCGUAUUAAUUACGCCCUAAAACACAAGUGCACCAUCUGAGACACUGCUAUGGUUAAGUGUUAAACCUAGCUACGGCGAAACCAACAGGAAGUGGUAAACCUGCUAAUAAAGCCCUCAGGUGUCAUGAUUUAGUUAAGAAAAUGGGGACCCCAGGCUCUUCUAUUAGAUGAUUUACCACGUCCCCCAAAGUUAUCUUAUUCAGUAGUGCAUUUCUUAACAACAUCGUUGCUAACUAAGUUUGCAACUUUCUUGGUUAACUGUAAUGCAAUUUCCCAUUGGCAUCUUAAGUUGCUAAUUGGUUAGCAAUGACACUGUCGAGAAACCGCAGCCCUGGUUUACUACUGAGCCAGGUUCUUGGAAUGGGUAAUUGCCCUAAUCACCUGCCAUCCACUGUGCCACAUGGGUGUUUAAGAGGUAAUUAGGAGGACUAUCACCUGGUUGAAUUGGCCUGGUAAAGCAGGGUCAUUCCACAACAGUUAAAGCACAUAGAGCUGUAUUAGGGUCUCCGCACAUCGGCUCCGACAAAGUGCUGAGCACUUCUCUGCCAAAGUUUGAUUCCAUUGUUGUCACGACAACCCCGCACACUGGCGCCGAUGUCCGCGGCCAUUCGUGGAUGUCGGCAAGAGAUUAGAGACGAGUUAUAUUUUGUCGGAGCCGCCCAUUGACUAUACAUGUUCUGUUGGGGUAAAAUUGUGUGCGGGACUUGGAAUUGUGUCGGAAGCUAAAUGUGCCAAUGUGCGGAGGCCCUUAAUGCAUGACCUGUGCUAUAUAAAGUUAUUAUUAAAUAUAAAUUAUUAUUAUUAUUAUUAUUUGAAAUAUGUGGAUUGUAACUCACUGGAGACGAGACCCUCCACUCUGAAGAGCAUGAAUGUGCAGCCUUUAUUCUCUUCCUCCUCAUUGUGAUCUACAAUGACAAGCUCCUGGUGCAAUACUUUCUGUCUUUUAAAUGACAUUCUGUUUUUGUUUUGUGAUGAAUUAUUUUAUACAUAAUUGGCGGUUUGUCUUUGCUAGUUAAACUCAUACAGAGUGGUCAUCCGAACAGUGCUGGCUCCAUUCAAAAGCUGCCAUGGCCAAAACUAGGAAGAGGCUUACCCUGUACGGUUAGUUCCUUUUAGAAUGUAGAGUCUAGAACCUUCUAGAAUCUCUCUAAUAGUAUUUCAAAUAAUUAGUAAGGUAUGAAAUGUGCUAACAACAAAAAUGGGAACUUUAUAAACUUGAAGAUGUUCUCUUCUGAUUGUCUUCCAUUGGACAGUUACGGUAUUCUAAUACAAGUAUCUAACCACUGUGUUCACUGUAGACUACUAGGUCCGAUCUGGUCCCUGCAUUUGGCCAGUUUUAAAGGUAUUGUUAUUUUCAAUGUGUUCGAGUAGCUUACUGUUGUGAUCCAUCCUGGUGGAUAUGAAUUUGACAUUUCAAACUGCAUGUACAGGCAUUAUUUAAGGACAUAUCAAUGCAAUGUGCCAGCGUUUUUGGUGCUGGCACUACUGUGAUUUUUUUUAGAAGCUGCUAACACGGUGAAGCAGUUUAUUCAUUCAGAAAGGGAAACAUAUUAAUAGUGUUUUUCUUGUUUGUUUGUUGACUGAGUUAUGAUGAACAAAUCAUUUCAUAUGCUGUGACAUGUUUCAUUGUUUUGAUUGACACAAAGAAGCCAUAUGUGUUUUCAUUGGUUUUGAAUAAGCUAGUGAUUGUUAGAAUGGUUUUAAUUACUUGGUACUUGAAGUAUGUGGUCUUUGCCUGUGCCUUUGUAGGGUAUGAAUACAAUAAACUAAUCCAACAUGUAUAA
Molecule: long non-coding RNA, 2253 nt
Organism: Engraulis encrasicolus (European anchovy)
Lineage: Eukaryota; Metazoa; Chordata; Actinopteri; Clupeiformes; Engraulidae
Exons: 2
Source: RefSeq, a predicted model, not a curated record